Molecule: ribosomal RNA, 440 nt
Filed under: uncultured bacterium
Lineage: Bacteria
Description: partial 16S ribosomal RNA
Rfam family: Bacterial small subunit ribosomal RNA
Source: RNAcentral
CCUACGGGGAGCAGCAGUGGGGAAUAUUGGACAAUGGGGGGAACCCUGAUCCAGCGACGCCGCGUGAGUGAAGAAGUAUUUCGGUAUGUAAAGCUCUAUCAGCAGGGAAGAAAAUGACGGUACCUGACUAAGAAGCCACGGCUAACUACGUGCCAGCAGCCGCGGGAAUACGGAGGGGCAAAGCGUUACCCGGAUUUCUGGGGGUAAAAGGGAGGGAAGACGGUGAGGAAAGUCUGAUGUGAAAGGUCGGGGCCCAACCCCGGGACGGCAUUGGAAACUGUUGAACUGGAGUACAGGAGAGGUAAGCGGAAUUCCUAGUGUAGCGGUGAAAUGCGUAGAUAUUAGGAGGAAUACCAGUGGCGAAGGCGGCUUACUGGACUGUAACUGACGUUGAGGCUCGAAAGCGUGGGGAGCAAACAGGAUUAGAUACCCGAGUAGUC